UAGGGAUACCCGCUGAACUUAAGCAUAUCAAUAAGCGGAGGAAAAGAAACCAACAGGGAUUGCCUCAGUAACGGCGAGUGAAGCGGCAACAGCUCAAAUUUGAAAGCUAGCCUUCGGGUUCGCAUUGUAAUUUGUAGAGGAUGCUUUGGGUAAAACGCCAGUCUAAGUUCCUUGGAACAGGACGUCAUAGAGGGUGAGAAUCCCGUAUGUGACUGGAAAUGUUAACCUAUGUAAAGCUCCUUCGACGAGUCGAGUUGUUUGGGAAUGCAGCUCUAAAUGGGAGGUAAAUUUCUUCUAAAGCUAAAUAUUGGCGAGAGACCGAUAGCGCACAAGUAGAGUGAUCGAAAGAUGAAAAGCACUUUGGAAAGAGAGUUAAAAAGCACGUGAAAUUGUUGAAAGGGAAGCGCUUGCAAUCAGACUUGUUUAAACUGUUCGGCCGGUCUUCUGACCGGUUUACUCAGUUUGGACAGGCCAGCAUCAGUUUCGGCGGCCGGAUAAAGGCUCUGGGAAUGUGGCCUCCACUUCGGUGGAGGUGUUAUAGCCCAGUGUGUAAUACGGCCAGCCGGGACUGAGGUCCGCGCUCGGCU
This 587-nucleotide ribosomal RNA is filed under the name Aureobasidium pullulans. RNAcentral's name for it is "partial large subunit ribosomal RNA". It matches the Rfam family "Eukaryotic large subunit ribosomal RNA", at positions 16 to 611 of the family's 3401-position model. The record is from RNAcentral. Lineage: Eukaryota; Fungi; Ascomycota; Dothideomycetes; Dothideales; Saccotheciaceae.